GCUACUUGCCAUGGAUUUAUUACUACAUGUAGAAUUAUAAUUGGAUUUACUAAACUGAACAGUAAGAAACGUUUGAAAGACUGUGAAGAUUCAACACUUCCAGGGAUACCUCAUCUCAGUUGCCAUGGAUACUACUCUUCUUGGAUAAUCUCAUCAUUAAAUUGUGCGUUGUUUUGGGAACUAUCUCAUGUACAAUAAACGACAACUGCUUCUGUAUGGAAUGUAAAAUGCUGCAUGAGAAAAGAAGAAAAGAUUUGACAUGAAGUUUGAAACUGCAAAAAGAUGCAUCUAUGCAUGAAUGGAUAUUAUCAUCUAUUGUGAUCUGUAUUAUCAACAAAAACAACAAUAAAUGAUUCAUCCUGUGCGUGUGACUUCUGCAUGUAAUUGUGCAUGAUAAGUUCCUGAAUUACUGAUAGAAUGUUAUCUUCAUGGUCAUCGCAGGAUGCGUAAGCUUUCAGAGAAGAUAUCAUCUGUGAAUGGAACACCAGACUGAAAUUAUGGCUUAGACGCAACAUAUGACAAUAUACAGAGUCUCUGUAACACAAAUUUGAUGUGCACAUUCAUAAUAGUUAUAGAAAAUAAUAAAAAAUUACAGAAUGACAAA
Saccoglossus kowalevskii is the source of this 604-nucleotide long non-coding RNA. Lineage: Eukaryota; Metazoa; Hemichordata; Enteropneusta; Harrimaniidae. The record is from RefSeq and is a predicted model, not a curated record.